RNAcentral lists this ribosomal RNA (227 nucleotides) under uncultured Lactobacillus sp. RNAcentral's name for it is "partial 16S ribosomal RNA". It matches the Rfam family "Bacterial small subunit ribosomal RNA", at positions 134 to 356 of the family's 1533-position model. The record is from RNAcentral. Lineage: Bacteria; Bacillati; Bacillota; Bacilli; Lactobacillales; Lactobacillaceae.
AAGUCUGGGAUACCAUUGGAACAGAUGCUAAUACCGGAUAAAAGCUACUUUCGCAUGAAAGAAGUUUAAAAGGCGGCGUAAGCUGUCGCUAAAGGAUGGACCUGCGAUGCAUUAGCUAGUUGGUAAGGUAACGGCCUACCAAGGCGAUGAUGCAUAGCCGAGUUGAGAGACUGAUCGGCCACAUUGGGACUGAGACACGGCCCAAACUCCUACGGGAGGCAGCAGCG